Molecule: long non-coding RNA, 383 nt
Organism: Tachysurus fulvidraco (yellow catfish)
Lineage: Eukaryota; Metazoa; Chordata; Actinopteri; Siluriformes; Bagridae
Exons: 3
Source: RefSeq, a predicted model, not a curated record
GUUCAUCCACACACUUCUACACUACCCUGUGUUUUUAUGGCAUUUGUACCUUUUUUGGACCAAUUUUCAAAGGUCCAAGCUUCAUGAAGACGAAUAGCAGCACCUUGUUGAAUAGCUAUAAUGGGGAGAAAGCUUCACUUCACUUCACAUCACGGCUGCUGGCAAAGGGAGAGAGGAGGAGCUCAGAGCGGCGCUGCAGCUCUUCGGGUGCUCAGAAAAGAGAGAGAGAGAGAGAGAGAGAGAGAGAGAGAGAGAGAGAGAGAGACUCAGACUCCCCGUCCGCGGUUCUCUCCUCGUCAGUUCGCUCCAGGCUCGCGGCUCUUUCGGAAGGAUGCGCGCGCUCCCGGUGCUCUUCUCCGUAGCUGCUCUCCUCCUGCACUCCA